Non-coding RNA from Mycena epipterygia, 91 nucleotides. The record is from the annotation of a GenBank genome assembly. NCBI's taxonomy places the organism in Eukaryota, Fungi, Basidiomycota, Agaricomycetes, Agaricales, Mycenaceae.
UCAGACGUGGUGUACGGAACACCCUCGCUGCUUAUUGAAGGAGUGUGGGUGAAUAAAGCGAGGUAUCGGGGUUCGACUCCCCGCGUCCGAA